RNAcentral lists this ribosomal RNA (484 nucleotides) under uncultured bacterium. RNAcentral describes it as "partial 16S ribosomal RNA". It matches the Rfam family "Bacterial small subunit ribosomal RNA", at positions 30 to 507 of the family's 1533-position model. The record is from RNAcentral.
AUUGAACGCUGGCGGCAGGCCUAACACAUGCAAGUCGAGCGGAUGAAGGGAGCUUGCUCCUGGAUUCAGCGGCGGACGGGUGAGUAAUGCCUAGGAAUCUGCCUGGUAGUGGGGGAUAACGUCCGGAAACGGGCGCUAAUACCGCAUACGUCCUGAGGGAGAAAGUGGGUGAUCUUCGGACCUCACGCUAUCAUAUGAGCCUAGGUCGGAUUAGCUAGUUGGUGGGGUAAAGGCCUACCAAGGCGACGAUCCGUAACUGGUCUGAGAGGAUGAUCAGUCACACUGGAACUGAGAAACGGUCCAGACUCGUACGGGAGGCAGCAGUGGGGAAUAUUGGACGAUGGGCGAAAGCCUGAUCCAGCCAUGCCGCGUGUGUGAAGAAGGUCUUCGGAUUGUAAAGCACUUUAAGUUGGGAGGAAGGGCAGUAAGUUAAUACCUUGCUGUUUUGACGUUACCAACAGAAUAAGCACCGGCUAACUUCGUG